GAUGAACGCUGGCGGCGUGCCUAAUACAUGCAAGUCGAGCGAACAGACGAGGAUCUUGCUCCUCUGACGUUAGCGGCGGACGGGUGAGUAACACGUGGAUAACCUACCUAUACGACUGGGAUAACUUCGGGAAACCGGAGCUAAUACCGGAUAAUAUAUUGAACCUCAUGGUUCAAUAGUGAAAGACGGUUUUGCUGUCACUUAUAGAUGGAUCCGCGCCGCAUUAGCUAGUUGGUAAGGUAGCGGCUUACCAAGGCAACGAUGCGUAGCCGACCCGAGAGGGUGAUCGGCCACACUGGAACUGAGACACGGUCCAGACUCCUACGGGAGGCAGCAGUAGGGAAUCUUCCGCAAUGGGCGAAAGCCUGACGGAGCAACGCCGCGUGAGUGAUGAAGGUCUUCGGAUCGUAAAACUCUGUUAUUAGGGAAGAACAAAUGUGUAAGUAACUAUGCACGUCUUGACGGUACCUAAUCAGAAAGCCACGGCUAACUACGUG
Molecule: ribosomal RNA, 497 nt
Filed under: uncultured bacterium
Lineage: Bacteria
Description: partial 16S ribosomal RNA
Rfam family: Bacterial small subunit ribosomal RNA
Source: RNAcentral